AUUGAACGCUGGCGGCAGGCUUAACACAUGCAAGUCGAGCGGGGGAAGGUAGCUUGCUACCGGACCUAGCGGCGGACGGGUGAGUAAUGCUUAGGAAUCUGCCUAUUAGUGGGGGACAACAUCUCGAAAGGGAUGCUAAUACCGCAUACGUCCUACGGGAGAAAGCAGGGGAUCUUCGGACCUUGCGCUAAUAGAUGAGCCUAAGUCGGAUUAGCUAGUUGGUGGGGUAAAGGCCUACCAAGGCGACGAUCUGUAGCGGGUCUGAGAGGAUGAGCCGCCACACUGGGACUGAGACACGGCCCAGACUCCUGCGGGAGGCAGCAGUGGGGAAUAUUGGACAAUGGGGGGAACCCUGAUCCAGCCAUGCCGCGUGUGUGAAGAAGGCCUUAUGGUUGUAAAGCACUUUAAGCGAGGAGGAGGCUACUCUAGUUAAUACCUAGGGAUAGUGGACGUUACUCGCAGAAUAAGCACCGGCUAACUCUGUGCCAGCCGCCGCCGUAA
This 501-nucleotide ribosomal RNA is filed under the name uncultured bacterium. RNAcentral describes it as "partial 16S ribosomal RNA". It matches the Rfam family "Bacterial small subunit ribosomal RNA", at positions 30 to 523 of the family's 1533-position model. The record is from RNAcentral.